GGAGAGAUGGCCGAGUGGUUAAAGGCAACAGACUGUAAAUCUGUCGACGUAUGUCUACGUAGGUUCGAACCCUACUCUCUCCACCA
Molecule: transfer RNA, 86 nt
Filed under: Pseudomonadota bacterium
Lineage: Bacteria; Pseudomonadati; Pseudomonadota
Also listed under: 1 other name
Description: tRNA-Tyr
Rfam family: tRNA
About the family: Transfer RNA (tRNA) molecules are approximately 80 nucleotides in length. Their secondary structure includes four short double-helical elements and three loops (D, anti-codon, and T loops).
Source: RNAcentral